This is a long non-coding RNA of Vespa crabro (European hornet), 559 nucleotides long. RefSeq lists it as uncharacterized. The transcript is spliced from 2 exons. Lineage: Eukaryota; Metazoa; Arthropoda; Insecta; Hymenoptera; Vespidae. The record is from RefSeq and is a predicted model, not a curated record.
CAUAAAAAAUCAUUUUUAUGAUUCUAUUUCUAUCUCGCUGUACUGCGUUACUAAGUUACCAUGAAAUAAUGUCCCAUCAAAUUUAUAUACUAUAUAUGACUACAUGUUUAUAUAUAUAUAUAUAUACUUAGUUUAAUAGAUAUUUUAAUUGGCAACUUUGUAGAAAUUAUAAUAUAACCUGUUAUAAUCUAAAGCGUUUAUUCGCAUCAGGCAGAUAGAGAAGGCAGAAGAAAGAACAGAGGACUAUGAAAAUCUUAAGUCGUGCAUGAAUUUUGACCUAUUUCGAAAAGAAGAUAUCUUUGCAACAUCCAUCAAGAACUUCCUGGGUUGAGGCUUAAUUGUUCAUAGUGAUGACAUGUUUUAUAUAUGUAGAGAAAUAACGGAGUCAAUCGACUUUUCUCAUAAUGCUGAUUAAACGAGAAACUGUGAAAGACCUUGCAAUGAGAGCCUAUGAUCCAAAUUAAAACAAUCAAUGAUAUUACAGUUGAUGAAGGAUUUUAUAAUUGUAAAAAAAAAAAAAAAAACUUAAAAAUAUUACUAUCGAUCAUACAUACAAUAG